GGUCAUGAGUGUCAGCGAUUUGCCCCGGCUCGCUGACCGGCAACCCUCCACCGUGGUGGGGUGCCCCGGGUGAAGACCUGGUACCGAACCGCCCGGUUUCGGUGCAAGCGCGGGCC
RNAcentral lists this non-coding RNA (116 nucleotides) under Arthrobacter alpinus. RNAcentral describes it as "SAM-IV sequence". It matches the Rfam family "SAM (S-adenosyl methionine) riboswitch aptamer". Rfam says of the family: SAM-IV is a mRNA element that regulates gene expression via direct sensing of S-adenosylmethionine (SAM or AdoMet). SAM-IV riboswitches share conserved nucleotide positions with the previously described SAM-I riboswitches sequence analysis and molecular recognition experiments suggest that SAM-I and SAM-IV riboswitches share similar ligand binding sites, but have different scaffolds. The record is from Rfam by way of RNAcentral. Lineage: Bacteria; Bacillati; Actinomycetota; Actinomycetes; Micrococcales; Micrococcaceae.